Molecule: ribosomal RNA, 497 nt
Filed under: uncultured bacterium
Lineage: Bacteria
Description: partial 16S ribosomal RNA
Rfam family: Bacterial small subunit ribosomal RNA
Source: RNAcentral
GAUGAACGCUGGCGGCGUGCCUAAUACAUGCAAGUCGAGCGAACGGACGAGAAGCUUGCGCUCCUGAUGUUAGCGGCGGACGGGCGAGUAACACGUGGAUAACCUACUUAUAAGACGGGGAUAACUUCGGGAAACCGGAGCUAAUACCGGAUAAUACUUUGAACGGCAUGGUGCAAAAGUGAAAGACGGUCUUGCCGUUACUAAGAGAUGGAGCCGCGCUGCAUUAGCUAGUUGGUAAGGUAACGGCUUACCAAGGCGACGAUGCGUAGCCGACCUGAGAGGGUGAUCGGCCACACUGGAACUGAGACACGGUCCAGACUCCUACGGGAGGCAGCAGUAGGGAAUCUUCCACAAUGGGCGAAAGCCUGACGGAGCAACGCCGCGUGAGUGAUGAAGGUCUUCGGAUCGUAAAACUCUUUUAUUAGGGAAGAACAUAUGUGUAAGUAACUGUGCACAUCUUGACGGUACCUAAUCAGAAAGCCACGGCUAACUACGUG